CCCCGCAGUGUAAGGCAUACAAAGUGUUUCCCAUGCCACCAGCGCUUUUCUGGAUGCAGUUGUUCCUGUCCAGAGGUAAGACCGGCAUAUCGCUUCAGUCAUUUUGAGUAUCCUUUUAGGCAGUAGAAAGAUUUGGGACCAGUUUGUUUUGAACUUCUAAAAAUGAUAAAUAAUUUGAGAUAAUUAUAUUUACAAAUUAUGAUAGUUAAUUUGGGACGGACGGAGCAGCAUUAGAAAGAAAUCAAAGCGUAUUUUUUAUUGAAAAUGAUUUAAGCCUUUAAAUAUAUGUUAUGUGUUUUUACUUUGUAUCUUUUGGUGGGAAAAGUUGCUCAUUUUUUCCUACUUCGAGUUAAAAGAUGGUUUCAAAAAAUAUCAGUUUUGUAUAUUUUGAUU
This 393-nucleotide long non-coding RNA is filed under the name Nicotiana benthamiana. RNAcentral describes it as "long non-coding RNA (NBEN_LNC029237)". Lineage: Eukaryota; Viridiplantae; Streptophyta; Magnoliopsida; Solanales; Solanaceae. The record is from RNAcentral.